UCGGGGUGUGGAAGGCCACCUGAGGAUCAUUGCCAACAGUAUAAAAGGAAAACGGCAGGGCACGCUGGUGGUUCUCCUGGAGAAGUCUGUCACACUGGCCUUCCUGGCAAACUGGACUGGUCUCGGUUCCCCUUGGGGGAGCUCUUCUCUUUACCUUAGGCAUCACCAUCUGGCUCCAGUGCAGAACCCUCGGUCUGCUGGCACAGAUCCUUCAUCCCACUAACAUAAACUCCUCAGCUUCCUCCUGAAUCGUUCAGACUCUUCAAGCUUCCAUCACAGACCUACUGGCCUCCUGACAUGGACUCGCAUGGACACUGCAGUGAGCUCCAGGACUUGGCUUGAAUCCUUUCACCUCCCCUGUGUAGACGUCCUCUACACAGCUCCUCAUCCAACGCUGUGGCUGGCCAUCGUAAGCCAAUCUGACACAGCCAAGAAAUUACUUUGGACCUGGAGAAGAGAGCAGACCAGAAGUACAUCACUUCCAAGCCAAGCGUUCUCUGGCCACUCCUGAGUCCUCUCUCCGCCCUGUUGUAUGAGCCCUGAAGAAUUGCAGCGGUGGGUUGCUAUCUUACGAGGCCAUGCCCCCAGCCCUCUAAAAGAUGACUGCAUGAAGCAAAAUUCCCUCCCAUCUCCACGCCAACCUCCAUACUACCUGGAAGGGCCCAGCAGCCUAGAGCAGCGUACAAGUGAAAACCACUCUACCACCUGCCUUCAAUACAGCCCACAAGGAACACAGAAGUCUGAACAAGGUCCUGGCCAUUACUCUGUAUGCAAAACUGGAUCAAGGGGGAACUUACAGGUAAAGCUAGAAUUUUUCUUCACAAGCAGUUCUGAAUCUACACUAGUUCAAAAGCAAGUGAACGGUGAGUCAUUUUUAUAUGAACAAGUGAAAAAACGCUUUAAAUUUAAAAGAAUUGUUUUCCAAAUUUUGCAAAUAAGAAAGGAUUUCUUUCACGGAAUUAUUCACGGAAUUAUAAAUUAUAAAAGGAUUUCUUUCACUGGCUUGUUUUUCAUAAAUAACAUUCUGUUAUAGAAAGGGUACUAUACUCUGGGAGUUGUUUCUACUUUUAAUUCAAAUAGUGAAAAGGUAAAAGAUAAUGUUAAGAAUCAUAUUUCAAGAAACCAAAUAUCAAGGAGUUUAUUUAUAGGUACUGUAGUUUCCUGAUGAUUGUGUUAUCAUAUCUUUGUCUCUUGACAACUCAAGAAUCUGAUCAAAAACAAAAGUAACUCCUUUCGAUCUGAAUGCCUUAUCAACCUCAAAUAUUGACUGCUAAGAUUUCUUUCUAUUGAAGUUUGAAAAGAUAAAUAGGUUCCCAGUGAAUAUGUGCUGCUAAUACUUUACCCAGAAACAAUUUAAGAAAAAAUAAAAUGUUUCAACAUGUUAAAAUAAGUUUGAAAAAAAUCAGCAACAUCAAUAACCUUUCCCCAUCCACCCCUAUCCUAUCCUGCAGAAUCCCAUGGCAUAAACCAUGUAAGCCUCAGGAUGAAGUUUGUCUUUUAACCACGGUAGCUAUAAUUAUCCUGGGCAAACAAAAUCCCCAGCCCUGGGGAGCCAGGCUACCUGAGACUAGGAUUGCCCAAAACUUGGGGAUGACCACAGAGGCCAUUGUUCCGGGGCCCACACCAAGCUCUUUGUUUUAUAGAAGAGGAAACAACACAAGUUGGGUAAGGAACCUGCCCAGCUACUUAGCCAGGGAGCAGCAGCACUGAGGCUGACCCCAGACAGCCCAUUUCCCGCCCUACGGGCUUCCCCUCCACCACAAUCCAUCCGCCUGCUCACUGGCUCUCUGGAGCCGUCACUGAUUCAAGCACAGUUAAUGUACCCUUUCUAAGGUAGAUAAAUUCAACUCCAAUACCACUUACAGCAUGAAUCGCUUCCCAACGAGGCCUAUAAAGCAGAGGCCCUGUCAGCCCUGCAGGGCUGCAAACGACCCCCCAUGCUUUUUUUGGCAGAGCUGAGUUUAGCUCAGUUCUCUGGCCAAAGGCUCAGAUGCCUGCACCUUUCUAAUCAUACUACGCUGGUUAACCAUGGCUCUUUUCUUUGUAGAGUCUGUUUGUGCAUCAUUCUUUGUAGUACACUGGGACACAGCACCCCAAAACUACCCAGUUCCUCCUCUCCUGGAGAGCUUGAUUCCCAGUUGUGCUCCCACUUUUCCCUUCUGUGCUGGGGAACUGAACCCAUGGCCGUCGUACUGAGUUAACUUUUUAAGAUGAGGUGUCAUUAAAUUGCUAAAUUGCAGGGCUUGAAUUUUUGACACUUUUGUCUCAGCCUCCAACCACAGGCGUGCACCACCGUGCCAGGGUCAGUUACACCACUUUUACCUGACUAUUCCAAGUUGCUGUAUGAAAGUCCAGGAUGUGUCUGUUCAUUUAUUUCUGCUAACACAUGGUUUUAAAGUAACUAAAACAAUGAUGAAAUUUUGUCAAUUUCUUAAUUUUUUUUUUUAAAUUCUAAGACCAUAAUGAGGGCCACUUCCUCUUAGAAAGUUAUUUGAGGAAAAACUAAUCAACUCAACUUAAUAUUAUUCAGUGUUACUUACAAAACUAAAGAGUAAUCUCUGACUUCCCUCAACUUUUGAAUAGGACCAGAUCUCAAUUAACAGCAUUGAUUUCCUUAAAAUAAAAAUAACGAUCUCUCUUUACACUUGAGGUCCCAAUUGCAAAAUCCUAUAUCUCUAAUUAACAAUGAUUUAUUUUAUGCAAAAAGGAUAGCAACUCUUCUUGUCGGUUCCCAAAAACUUACAAUCCUAUCUCAGUGCUGCCUUUAUACCAAAUCAAAGAUUUGUUUUAUUUUAAAAAGGAUAAAACCAAGGAAAAUAAAACAGAAUAAAACCAAUUUAAAAAUAUAGGACUUCAAAUCCUUACGAAAUCCGCAAUAAUUACCAUAAUGCCUUUUGUUGUCUUCAAAAUAGCUGCAGAUACCUUCGGACAUAGUAAAAAUCAAACAGAACAGAAUAGCAUAUAAACAACAGAAACAAAACAGUGAAUGCAAUACAGAACUUCAAAAUAAGCUAAUAGUAAAUCCAAAGUGGCUAACAGUAUGUCUUAUUAUCUUUUAAAAUAGCUGCUCAUGCCAUCAGAUUUAACAUAAUAAAACAAAACAAAAGAGAAUAAAACCCAACCCAACAAAACAAUGAAAAUGACAUGGUUUCCCAGGUGGGAUCGCCUCCUGGUGAGGCCUGAUUCUCUCCCCAUGCAGUCCACCAAGUGCGCUGCCUCACAUAGAGAGGCUUGGGUGUGGCUGUCCCUACUCUGGCAGUGGCCAAGAUUUUUAAAUCUAAUAGACAACCUCAAAUGGGCAAACACUAUAAUCCUGAUUUCCAAAGUGCUUACCCAGUAGUGAAUGUAAUUUUCUUUCAAGAUGUUUGACUAUGAUGAAAGAAAAGGGACAGCAAUCUUGCCCAAAUUUGCAGUAUAAGAAUAAAUUUAAAAGUGGCCUUAGCCAAUGACCAAUGAAGUAGGAGUGAAGGUACUUAUUGCAAUGUUAUUUAUAAUAUGAAAGAUUUGAGAUAUAUAAAAAUUUAAAUGUUAAAAAAGGAUAAAUUAUGGCAUGUCCCAUAGUGGAAUACUAUAUAGCUCUUAACAUUAAUUAAUAAUCAUAAAUUUAUUUUCAUGUAAAGAUAGUUAUAUUGAUAUGGAAAUAGAUAAUAAUUUUAUGAGCUCAGUUUGGUAAAAAAAAAACUAUGGCAAAAAUCAUAUUUCAAAUGUGUAGGAGGAAUACACAGAAAAAUUGGAAGGACAUACAUCAAAAUAAUGUUCAUUAAUUAUGGGGAAUUGAUUAUAUUUUUUAAAUGUCUUAAAUUAACAUUACAACUGGUAUUUGUUUAAGAAGUAUACAGUCCACCAAAAAGACUUUCAUUCGAAAUGGUCAAUAUUAGGCUGGCUCCAAUUGUGUGGUCCAUUGUACCUUGUUACCUCAUAACGUGAUAAUGCUAUAGGUAAGUGAGAAAUUGCUUUAUUUUCUUUCCCUCCCUGGGUCAACUGAGUUAUAAACUAAAAUCAAAGCAGAACUAGAAUCAAAACACAAAGGUCAAAGAUUCCAAUUUCUGUUACUAAAGUUCAUUUGCUCACACACUGAAAAAUAUCACUAUGUAACUAGAAUUUUAAAAACCUCACACAGAAGAUAUAUCUCACACAGGUCCUACUUUCAGAGACUACAAUUACUAAACAGUGAGGUACUUAAAUUAAAGAGAGAGAGAGAGCUACAAGAAUAGUAUUGUGAAGGACAGGUUUUCUACUCAGGGAAUUAGAGAAGAAUUACUGAACAAUGAAUGGACGCAGCUGGGACUUAAUAUCAAAAAGGUAAAUUUUAAGGUCAAAAGAUUGCAUUGCCUUAGGAAAUGAACUCUAGAUAGUACAAAGUGAAUGAAGCAAGGUAAAAACAGUACAGGUACACAUUCCACAUACACAUUCACACACAUCCACUGACACGCAUGGGUAUAUCAGUAAGGUACAAGGUUACUCUCUGGGUAGGGGAUUACAGAUGGUUAUCACGUGUUAUCUAUCCUAUUUAGUUUUACUGUAAUGAACUGAAUGGUGUAUUACAUAUGGAUAAAUAGGGGAAACUUAUUCAUGGUGCCCAAAUAAAACCUUGUGUCAUGCUAUGAUCAGUGCUGGACUAUGAAAGAGCCAGUGCUGACGUGUGAGACAUUAUGAUCAGAAAUAAACUUGCCCACUUCUCUGACAGCCCAGCUCUGAAUUUUCAUCUGGCAACAUUGAAUGAGUGGCACAAAAUGAUUCUUCUCAAUUACCUUGAAAUGAUACAGAGAACUGAGUAGAUGCCUGCAAUUAAAAAUAAGUGACCUAAAUAACCAGAACCCUUGAGAGAGUUUCCAAUCAACAGCAUUAGUAUCCAAUAUAGCUUCGCGAGCAACUUGCCCUGUGUUGGUAACAUGCAGCCGUCUUCCUCACGUAGAAAAGCCUGGUGUGUUUUGAUGGAUUCGGAAUUAGGAUGAUGCUACAGAAGUAGAUGUUGUACACAGCACACUGUUCACAUCUAUCACUUUGCCAUUGUUUGGCAGCAAGUCUAUUUCUCCCUCAAGUUCUAUUGCUUGUUUGCUUGUUUGUUUUUGAGACAGGGACUUGCUACACAGUUCACUAUGAAGUCCAGGCUGGCCUCCAACUCACAGUGAUCCUCCUGCUUCAACCUUCCAAGUACUAGGAUUACAGAUGUGCACCACCACCCCUGGCACUCCUUCAAGAUUUUUUUACUCUUACUGUAUUCCAGCACCUAACAGACUCUUGGCAGUGGCAAGGGUUUUCAAACCAUUUUUAAGAAGGAAUGAGAUAACCUUCCACCUUUCUUGGGUACCCACGAAAGCACUAAAUUCCCUAAGAACUCUUUAUUUAAAGACGGAUAUGAAUAAGUUGCUGAACAUUCAGGGAAAACAUAGAACAGCUAAGAAGCUGAUAAAUGAGAAUUCAGUGCUUCAGUUCACAGAAGAGCCAGAGAGGGCUAAAGUAGUUCCAGUGUUUUUCUGAAGUGAUCUAACACACAACGUCUCUACUAGAAAUGUCCAAAAAUUUCUGAGUUAGAAACCCCGACUAGGGAGUUGGAGCAUUAAAUAUGGUAAUGGAUCGCAACAGCAAAGACAAACAAUGAAACCUCAGCUGAAAUAACUCAUCCUCAGGGCUCUUGCACAGGAGCUACAUGCUGAGCUCCAAUGAUGAAGUCUCAUGUACAAGCUUCCGUGUGUUAAUGAAUGGGCAGCCUCUGAAGCAAGCCCCUCCCGGACGCAGGCACCACAAUCUUAUAAUAAAUACAAGUAAUCAACCAUUAGCAGUACAAUUGAAUUGAAAUAUGAAGCUCAAUUGUAUUUUCCUAAUACUUAUGUUCAAGGCACCACAGAAAUCUUCAUCAAUAGAAUAUAAAAUAUCUAUGAAUAUAUAGGAAAUGGGUUUUUGGUAAAUCUCAUGCUUAUCUUUCCUGUAUAUUUGCAUAGCUUUCCAUUUUUAUAAAAAAGUUAGCUGGUUAUUUCUUAAUUCAGUAUGUUCUAAAUAAAACCUAAAAUUCAGUCCAAUACAACUCCAUUCCAAAAUGUAUGUAGUACACACAUAUACAUACACAGUAAAUAUGGUAGGCGUAAGAAAGGGUGAGAAACCCACACAACUCUUAGUUCUUCUUAUCCAUCAAAUCUUCUUUGACCAUUGUUCUUAUUUGCAAUACAUAACUAUGCUAUAAAGUUGUCACCUUAAAGAGUCUUCAGUUUCUCUUCUUUUCCAAAGAAGGACUGAAAGAGUCCCCCAAACCUAUUGAUUUAGCACCAAAUUUAAAUAGACCCAGAAGGCCUCUCACUUCUCACACUGAGUAGAACAAGGUCAGACUGGGCAUCUUCUCAAUGUAAAGGCUUAAUUGGACUAAUUCUUUCAUGAUAAUAAUGUAUAUUUAAGAUAGCCACUAAAAAUUGUCAAUGGUAAUUUAGUAGAUCAAUUCCAUUAAAUGCUUUGAACUUUUCACCACUUGCUAAUCUCAUCUAUUACCGCAGCUGUUUUGUUGAAAAUCUGAAGCUAUAACUUAAUAUCAAAUUACAACAAUUCCAGCCAGACCUAAAAAAUACUUUCUUAUAUGUAAAACAGAACCUGGAAGGAUCUUAAAUUGUGUCAAAUUGUAAGAUUCUGGCCAUAAAAUUUCCUGCAACCAAAAUAAGAGAGACCUUAUCACUCUGUUGGCAAUUGACAUUACAGUAAGAACUUUGCAGGGCUUUUGAUUUUACUAUAUAUCUCAGGUAAUACAGUUUUUAAAAAAUACAUAUUUUAUUAUGUCUGAAAUAAAGCUUUACCACUUUUCUUGCUGAUCGUAGACCAACCUUUAUUCGACUAAAUGGUUCAGGGUUUAAUAUCAAACACAAUGCUAAUUCUAGGAAGUAGCUGAACCCAGAUCAAUAAAGAUGUCAAAAUUCUGUUCAACCUUUAGGUGAACAAAGCAAGCAAUGUAACUCAUUAACAUAAAAAUAAUAUAUUCAUUAGGUAACUAAUGAAGAAUUGCGGGAGACUCCAAAGCACUGUCAAAUAUCCAUGCCUUAUUUGUUUGAAAGUCCAUGUCGAAGGCUAUUUUUAUGCCCUGUGAUUUAGCACCAGUAUCCUCUGGGUGAUAGUGGAGGAAACAGAUGCUGGGAAUCUCUCCGGCCCAGUUCCUGAGAGCAGAGCUGUGAGUCACAGCCGCACCAGCGCGGCUUUGUACUCGCACAGGCAGAGGGUGGUGGAGCCCUGCGCAGAUGACGGUCUGAUUUCCACGCGCCUCUGCCAGUUUCCUCAAAGUUUCCACUUACGCAUUUGCCUC
Molecule: long non-coding RNA, 7279 nt
Organism: Cavia porcellus (domestic guinea pig)
Lineage: Eukaryota; Metazoa; Chordata; Mammalia; Rodentia; Caviidae
Exons: 4
Source: RefSeq, a predicted model, not a curated record